This 85-nucleotide transfer RNA is filed under the name Nitzschia traheaformis. Its description in RNAcentral is "tRNA-Ser". It matches the Rfam family "tRNA". From Rfam's summary of the family: Transfer RNA (tRNA) molecules are approximately 80 nucleotides in length. Their secondary structure includes four short double-helical elements and three loops (D, anti-codon, and T loops). Lineage: Eukaryota; Bacillariophyta; Bacillariophyceae; Bacillariales; Bacillariaceae. The record is from RNAcentral.
GGAUAGAUGGCUGAGUGGUUUAAAGCGAUAGUCUUGAAAACUGUUAUAUCUAACGAUAUCGUGGGUUCGAAUCCCACUCUGUCUU